GUAGGGGGCGAGCGUUGUCCGGAUUUAUUGGGCGUAAAACGCUUGUAGGCGGCCACAUCGCGUCGGACGUGAAAUCUCCCGGCUCAACUGGGAGGGGUCGUGCGAUACGGAUGGGCUCGAGGCCGGUAGGGGGACGCGGAAUUCCCGGUGUAGUGGUGGAAUGCGUAGAUAUCGGGAGGAACACCAGUGGCGCAGGCGGCGUCCUGGACCGGCACUGACGCUGAGGAGCGAAAGCGUGGGGAGCGAUCCGGAUUAGAUACCCGGGUAGUCCACGCCGUAAACGGUGCGCACUAGGUGUCGGGGGUAUCGACCCCUCCGGUGCCGCAGCUAACGCAUUAAGUGCGCUGCCUGGGGAGUACGGCCGCAAGGCUAAA
RNAcentral lists this ribosomal RNA (374 nucleotides) under uncultured bacterium. Its description in RNAcentral is "bacterial SSU rRNA". It matches the Rfam family "Bacterial small subunit ribosomal RNA", at positions 527 to 898 of the family's 1533-position model. The record is from RNAcentral.